This 124-nucleotide ribosomal RNA is filed under the name Pteropus alecto (black flying fox). The record is from RNAcentral. Lineage: Eukaryota; Metazoa; Chordata; Mammalia; Chiroptera; Pteropodidae.
GUCUACAGCCAUGCCACCCUGACCACACCCGAUCCCGUCUGAUCUUGGAAGUGAAGCUAAAUAGGGUCGGGCCUGGUUAGUACUUGGAUGGGAGACCACCUAGGAAGACCAGGUGCUGUAGGCG